UGGAAAAAGAGGCAAUGAAUUUGAAGGAGAGCAAGGAGGAAUAUGUGGGAGGACUUGGAGAGAAGAAGAAGGGAGAAAUGAUGUAAUUAUAUUACAAAAAGAAAAGAAAUAUUUUUUUAAAAAGUAAAGAAAUAAAAGAACCCUAGCCCAAGUACCAAUUUAGAUGGACUCUGAAACAUGCUGUUCAAUCAUUAUGCGAAUAGGAGUCAAGUUCAAAAGACUCUGUGUUACAGGACUCAGUGUAUGAAAUGUGCAAAAGUGGAAAACUAAAGUUGAUUUUGAUCAUGGCUUCCACUUGACAAAAACUUCUAUUUUGCAUUUUAAAAUCCUUAAGUCCUUGAAGUUAUCUCUGAAGCACCAUGACUGUAGGCCGACCUGUUCUAGAUAAUUCUGUCUUAAGACUUUAUCUCCUGCUGAUUCUAGCUUGUGUCAAGUGGAUAAGUUAAAACUAACUAGCACAGUCAGGGUCCUGUAGGAGGCUCACUUACCUUAACAGCAUAUCUUUGGGGUAAUUGUCUUGGUGGUUACAUGAUUUAGGAAGCCCCAGCCCAUUAUGGGCAGUACCAUUGCCCAGGUAGUGGAUCCUAAAUUGUGUAAGAGAGGUGAAAGGUAGCCACUGAAGGUAAGCAAGCAACGACACAUAUAUUCUUUCUUCUCCACUGGGGCUGUGAUGUCACUAGCUUCUUGAGUCCCUGCAUUUGGUUCCCUCAAAUGAUAGACUGGUAUUUGGAAUUAUGACUUUCCUUUCCCCAAAAAAUAAUAAUGAUGGCUAUCUUGUUCCUUCCUAGAUUUGCUUCUUAAUCUGUUUUCUGUCUUGAAGAAAGAAAUCCAGAUGCUAAGAAGGAGCUUGAGUCAUACUGUAGAGAUAAAACGUCCCAUGGCUCACACUUUCUCCUCCUACACAUUGAGUGAUUUUUUUUCCCUGAACCCAUUGGGAACAACCUCCAUUUUUAAGUUGACAUUUGGGGAAUUGUUGUGUGUCUGAUGAGACCUGGUGGUAGGCAGGGUGGUGGGAGGCGGUCAUUUGUUUUAAACAUAAGCCGUUUGUGAUGCCUGAUUUGUCAGUUGCUAGAAGGCUCUUGGCAGUCUUGCUGCACAUGGAGAGUCAGGCUGUUCUAAAGUGUGUAGCUCAAAAUGGGGAGGCAAGAAGCUGGUUCUGUUCAUCAAAAUUAUCUCACAUUGCACAUGGAUUUUUUUUUUUUUUUGGAAUUCACAAUAAUGCUGUCUUGGCCUAGUUCAGAUUGGUGUCCUGGGGAGGAAUGUCAGCAUGCUGCUGGCCACAACAAUGACAUACCCUCCCUCACAUAGCAUAGUCUGGAGAUAAGUAGUAACGCAGGCAUUGAUGGUAUGAUCUCUGGAGAGCUCAUCAACCCAAAAGCUCAGCAGAGUGCCUGGUCCAGGGUGCAAAGGCUUUUGCUGUGUUUCUAGGCUGCAUGCCCGUCAUUACUAAUGGUAUAAGCAGGUAGACUUGAAAACAGGCCCCCAGGAAUCAUGGAUAUUAUGCUCUGUUGAUAUGGUGAAAAUGAUUGCAGACUCAGUGGCUUUACACAGCAGGGAUUUCCUCUAUCACACCGCCAUGCUCACAUCUCCCAAACUAGUGCCACGGUUGAUACAUCUUCAGGUCUCAGCCCUGGAGCUUCUAGAGCAGUGGUUCUCAACCUCCCUAGUGCUGUGUCCCUUAAUGUGUUUCCUCAUGUUGUAGUGACCAGCCCUCCC
This 1716-nucleotide long non-coding RNA is filed under the name Mus musculus (house mouse). Its description in RNAcentral is "long non-coding RNA chr16:5961008-5962724". Lineage: Eukaryota; Metazoa; Chordata; Mammalia; Rodentia; Muridae. The record is from RNAcentral.